Molecule: long non-coding RNA, 671 nt
Filed under: Marmota monax (woodchuck)
Lineage: Eukaryota; Metazoa; Chordata; Mammalia; Rodentia; Sciuridae
Source: RNAcentral
GCACUAUCUCCUUGUGCUAGGACCAGCUUUUGCUGCCCCUCUCCCUCCUGGAGGUGAAGGAUGGAACAGACAUAGCUCUGGCUAUCAGGGUGAAGAAGUCUGAGUUUAGAGUUAACUUGAGAGUACAGAUUCGGGAAUCAGAGGUGGAAAUCAAAUAUUGCUUCAUUUCUAACAUGGGUUUGUAGAUUGUGGUUCUGAUGGUCAGCCAUGUCUAGGUUCCCUGCUCCCCACCCCAUCCUGCACUUCUGAACCUGAGGCCACCCAACCAGGGAGGUCUGCAAGUGUACCAGAGCCCAGGCCUGACAGAAAGCAUUAGCUACACUGCUGAUACGGGAUAGAGGUGGCCACCCUGAGACCUUUCCCCAGAUGGUGGGCCCAGACCACUAACAUGAAGACCAGUAGAACCCAGUGAUCCCCAGCUUUGCUUUGGGCAGUCAAACCAAAGAGAAAGAGAGAACUAAGAAGGAGAAGAGUCACUUAUGCUGUUUUUUCCCUGUCAAAAUCAAUUUUAUUGAGAUACACUUACGUACAAUAAACCACACUCAUUUUAGGUAUAUAGUUUUGUGAGUUCUGACAAAUGAACACCCCUAUAACCACCACCAUAAUCAAGAUAUGGGCUGUUUCCAUCAUCCCUAAAAGGUCCUUCUGCCCCUUUGUAGUAAAUAUCUACC